GAUGAACGCUAGCGGCAGGCCUAACACAUGCAAGUCGAGGGGCAGCGGGGGUAGCAAUACCUGCCGGCGACCGGCGCACGGGUGCGUAACGCGUAUGCAACCUGCCCACUCCCGGGGGAUAGCCCGCCGAAAGGCGGAUUAAUACCCCAUGGACCCUUAGCCCCGCAUGGGGCGGAGGGUAAAGCUCCGGCGGGAAUGGAUGGGCAUGCGUGCCAUUAGCUGGCUGGCGGGGUAACGGCCCACCAGGGCUACGAUGGCUAGGGGGUCUGAGAGGAUGAUCCCCCACACUGGUACUGAGACACGGACCAGACUCCUACGGGAGGCAGCAGUGAGGAAUAUUGGUCAAUGGGCGGAAGCCUGAACCAGCCAUGCCGCGUGCAGGACGACGGCCCUACGGGUUGUAAACUGCUUUUCCGGGGGGAAGAAUAAGGCCCAUGCGUGGGCCGAUGCCGGUACCCCGGGAAUAAGGAUCGGCUAACUCCGUGCCAGCAGCCGCGGU
This 499-nucleotide ribosomal RNA is filed under the name uncultured bacterium. Its description in RNAcentral is "bacterial SSU rRNA". It matches the Rfam family "Bacterial small subunit ribosomal RNA", at positions 28 to 521 of the family's 1533-position model. The record is from RNAcentral.